This is a long non-coding RNA of Oncorhynchus tshawytscha (Chinook salmon), 461 nucleotides long. The record is from Ensembl. Lineage: Eukaryota; Metazoa; Chordata; Actinopteri; Salmoniformes; Salmonidae.
CUGACAGCAGAGGUGUCUGUCUGAACUGAUAAAUAUCUGUGGGUUAGGGUGGUAGAGGGCUGACAGCAGAGGUGUCUGUCUGAACUGAUAAAUAUCUGUGGGUUAGGGUGGAUAGAGGGCUGACAGCAGAGGUGUCUGUCUGAACUGAUAAAUAUCUCUGGGUUAGGGUGGUAGAGGGCUGACAGCAGAGGUGUCUGUCUGAACUGAUAAAUAUCUCUGGGUUAGGGUGGUAGAGGGCUGACAGCAAAGGUGUCUGUCUGAACUGAUUAAUAUCUGUGGGUUAGGGUGGUAGAGGGCUGACAACAGAGGUGUCUGUCUGGAUUUUUAACAGUCCUUUACCGGCCUGGACUCUUUUAGGCCCGAGGUACAGGACAUUUCUGGAGGAACCAGAACUCAUUGUGUUAUAUUGUUAUGUGUGUGUGAUCAUUUGUUGGUAAUACAACCCACGCAAAAUAAUAUCG